Molecule: transfer RNA, 88 nt
Filed under: Azotobacter vinelandii
Lineage: Bacteria; Pseudomonadati; Pseudomonadota; Gammaproteobacteria; Pseudomonadales; Pseudomonadaceae
Description: tRNA-Ser
Source: RNAcentral
GCGGCUGUGGCGCACGCCGCCGCCGGUGCUGGCGGCGCGGCGCUUCGUGGUGCGGGUCGGUGCCUGGGUCCACCUCCUGGCGGCCGUG